This is a non-coding RNA of Triticum aestivum (bread wheat), 137 nucleotides long. Lineage: Eukaryota; Viridiplantae; Streptophyta; Magnoliopsida; Poales; Poaceae. The record is from Rfam.
AAUGCACUUCCUCUGUCCGAAAAUACUUGUCAUAAAAAUGGAUAAAAAAAUGUAUCUAGAUAUAUUUUAGUUCUAAAUACAUCUUUAUUUAUUUAUUUAUUUUGAUGAUAAGUAUUUUUGGACGGAGAAAGUAACAG